GCCCCACCUCGUCAUACCAUCCCUGUGGGUUAUAAUUUCAACGUAGGGAUUUGGGGAGGACACCAAUAUUCAGACCAUAGCAACCCUCUGCUUCCUCUUGUCUUGCUGGAAUGGAACUGGCCUGUCUUCCCUACUGGAAUAUAAACUCCAUGAUGGUAGAAGCCAUGUUGCUUUGCCCACCAUGGGUAGCAUGCGGAAGACGCCGGACUCUUCCUUAAAUAGAUACGUGUGUGAAUGGACAGCGGGCUCAUGAUUCACGUAAGAGUCAACAGCUCCGGAAGCCUCUUGGCGUCACUCGCAUUGCUCCUCUGCCGACUCCCGAAGGUCCUUCUUGUGGAUGGAAACGGGGUGCUCCACCACCGAGGCUUUGGGGUGGCCUGCCACCUUGGCGUCCUUACAGACCUGCCUUGCGUUGGGGUGGCCAAGAAACUU
Molecule: small RNA, 432 nt
Filed under: Pongo abelii (Sumatran orangutan)
Lineage: Eukaryota; Metazoa; Chordata; Mammalia; Primates; Hominidae
Description: retained intron
Source: RNAcentral